This 497-nucleotide ribosomal RNA is filed under the name uncultured bacterium. Its description in RNAcentral is "partial 16S ribosomal RNA". It matches the Rfam family "Bacterial small subunit ribosomal RNA", at positions 28 to 507 of the family's 1533-position model. The record is from RNAcentral.
GAUGAACGCUGGCGGCGUGCCUAAUACAUGCAAGUCGAGCGAACAGACGAGGAGCUUGCUCCUCUGACGUUAGCGGCGGACGGGUGAGUAACACGUGGAUAACCUACCUAUAAGACUGGGAUAACUUCGGGAAACCGGAGCUAAUACCGGAUAAUAUAUUGAACCGCAUGGUUCAAUAGUGAAAGACGGUUUUGCUGUCACUUAUAGAUGGAUCCGCGCCGCAUUAGCUAGUUGGUAAGGUAACGGCUUACCAAGGCAACGAUGCGUAGCCGACCGGAGAGGGUGAUCGGCCACACUGGAACUGAGACACGGUCCAGACUCCUACGGGAGGCAGCAGUAGGGAAUCUUCCGCAGUGGGCGAAAGCCUGACGGAGCAACGCCGCGUGAGUGAUGAAGGUCUUCGGAUCGUAAAACUCUGUUAUUAGGGAAGAACAAAUGUGUAAGUAACUAUGCACGUCUUGACGGUACCUAAUCAGAAAGCCACGGCUAACUACGUG